Molecule: long non-coding RNA, 875 nt
Filed under: Salmo salar (Atlantic salmon)
Lineage: Eukaryota; Metazoa; Chordata; Actinopteri; Salmoniformes; Salmonidae
Description: lncRNA (ENSSSAG00000098458.1)
Source: RNAcentral
CAAUCUGCGCCUGAGUCGCUCUCUUGUAGGCGUGCUGGCAGGAUGUGGCAGCAUAUUUGGUUGUGCGUCAAGAAUUCUGUAUACAGUAGCACGUUUGUAUGAAGGUGUGGUUAUUCACAGGCAAAUUGUUAUAUGCUAUGGAGGAACAUUUGUGUCUUUUUGUCAAGAGCAAAACUUUUUUUUAUUUUCAAUCAAAAAUAAUUGUUCUGAAAGCAACUUUUUUCCGACACAAAGGUCGGACAGCGAGCAAGCUGAUCAAGGGGUCGAAAAUGUAGAUAUUGCCAGAUGUUCACUGACCGAGGAACACGCCGUGAAAGCUUUAUUUCUGGCAAAAGUGUCCAUAACCAGAGGUUAUAUCACCUGUUUUGGUGAACCCCUCCUGCAUCUGAACUGGCUGACACAGAGGGCACAGCAUGAUCAUAGGUAGGUUUUGAUGUGAGAGAGGAAGCCAUUCCCGUCGUCGCCUCCUCACCCGCUCUUAAGAUAACCUUUGGGCCGACUGGGGGCCCAAGGCUAGUUAGGAGACACCGCAAUUGUGAUGAACUGAGAGAAUAUUAGGGUAGCACUGUAAUUCAUGAAUCAUAUGCUGUCUGCCUCUGUUCUUACCUCUUUCCCUUUCUGUCUUCUACACUUCUCUCCCCACCUUGUCUUUCUUCCUCGUUUUAUAAUGCACACCAUAUGUGCAUUGAAGUACAGAUUGAACUUGUAUUUAUAAUAUAUUACAAUUAUCAUAAUUAUAAUGCAUUUAUUAUGUAUUUAUAACACCUGGAUAAUGAACUUCUUUCAAUAAAGCGUUUCACAUUCUCCACUGGUUGAAAGUAAAUAUCUCAUUGAAAUACUAUCCUGUGUCCUCAGAUUAAUGCAGAUGAAGGGAG